This is a long non-coding RNA of Arvicola amphibius (Eurasian water vole), 3491 nucleotides long. RefSeq lists it as uncharacterized. The transcript is spliced from 2 exons. NCBI's taxonomy places the organism in Eukaryota, Metazoa, Chordata, Mammalia, Rodentia, Cricetidae. The record is from RefSeq and is a predicted model, not a curated record.
UGCUCUUUCCCCUCGUGCUCCGGUCUCCUUGCCAACCCGCGUUCCUGUGUUUGUUUUCACGUCUAAAGGGAGCGCUACGAAGGUGGAAAACGAGUCUGACGAGCAGACAAAAGAGGGAGAAGGGGCUGGGAAGCAAAGUUGUCUUGUUGGGCCUCCUGAGGUGGUAUGGAGCCGGCGGGGAAGGGAAACGUUUAGCCAGGCCAGCCGAGCAAAAGCACCGUCUCUCCCAGGAGUUAUGUAAUUUUUCACAACCUUGGCCUCUCCGACUUGAUUUCAGGCCAUCGGCGUAAUUCCCACAACUUCAUCCAACUGAAAAAUUAGGAAACACUAAGUGAAGGUUAAGCCGCAAAGGCUGCUGUGCCCUGUACACAGCAGGCACUCAAUAAUUGCUCAUGAUUCACUACUCCAAUCCCCAAGUGAUGUUUAUAUAACUUUUUUUAAGGCACCUUAAGUAGGUAUGAAAACUCACAGUAUUCCCCACCGAGUGUUUUUCUUAUAAUGCAUUUGGGUGUCCUCUCAAACGUGGAGUGUUAGCUCCAGACAGCAUUCAGGAGACGUUUAACUAACAUUGGUGCAAAAACAGCGACCGCUAAGGUUUAUCUCAUGUCUUCAUAAAUCUACACGACACCUUUCAUCAUGUUUCAGAGGUUAAUGUGUGCAAUUAACCCUCUUGAUAUGAGUUCAUUUCUAAGUAAUGGGAAACAAAACCAAAUAGAUGUAUUUAAUAAACAUAAAGUCAAUAAUAAUGUAAACAGUCUAAUCCCAAAGCAGAAAUAUGCAGUACUUUCCCCUUUUAUAAAAAGAUACCUAUUGUUUUGGCAGUAUAAUGUUUUUGAACAUUAUUAUUAUAAUCACCUCUUGACUGUCUCUGAUACUUGGACUUCUUAACCCAAGCCAUGGCUCAGUUGUGUUAGGGUGGACUGAUUUGUGUUGAGAGAAAGCUUUUUGAAACCAAAGCUUUCCAGAAGUCAGACUGGAGGAAUAUGUUAGAUUUGGACACAGUGUUUUUUCCAAAAUCCUUCUUUAGCAGCUCAUAAAAACUAUUUUAGUUUAUGUCAAUUGCGGUAGUUGUUUGCUGGACCAAGUGUAAAUAUUUUUACAUGGCUAAAUAGACAACUCUAGAUGUCGAGUGGGGUGUAGUAACGAGUAAAUGAGGGGGAAGGAGAACCAGGGUCGUUGCCGAGUAUAAAAGCAGAUCGUGAUGCUCUGGAAACAACUGGAAAACAGGGUCUAUAUCCUUGCAUAUGAGGGAGUACCAGCCAUAAGAUAAAUUUAUGCCAAAUCAUCAGUUUCUGCCAAGAAAAUACUACAUCUUUGUGUCUGUGCCUUUUGACAUUUUCCCCUUGGAUCUUCUCUUUAUAUAUUUGAAUGCAUACUAAUUAUAGGGUUGUACCACACAAGCUGAAUUCAAAGUUUCUCGUAUACAAAUAGAAAUAUAUGUCUGUUUUGUGUAUAUGUCUAUCGACAUUCUAAAAUCAAUUACAUAUUUAUGCUUUUAGACAUUUACAGUCAAACUAAAUAUAUACAUAUAAUCAUAAAAGUGUUUUUUUUCAAAAGAGUAAAAUAUAGCAAAGUCAAUUCAGACAAGCCAUAUGUUGUGACUUAUCCACAACCAUGCUUAAAAGAGCAAAUGAAUCAUCAAGUUCAGCUCUGGCCUGUUUCUUAGAAAUAUUUUUUUCAUGUCAAAAUCAUGAAACUAAAAAAAUAAAAUAAAAUUGAUAAUCAUGUGAGCAAAAUCUCAUUGAAUUCCAAGUCAACUCAAAGAGUGGAACUAAGAGGCAAUAACAUAGAGACCCCCCAGCACAGGGAACCCAACCUGCUAUAAAGGGUGACACAUGCCAGUUUUCCCUCCCCAAUGGCAGAUGUCACACCCUAAAGCAGACAGCCAGCCCUGCAGCCUGCAGGAGUAGAGGAACACAAAGCCGGCAGGACUUGGUUUUGUCUUUGGAACCACGGAGAAUUCUAAAAUGUCUUUUAAAACGAGCCUUGGCUGGAGAGGAAUGGAGUCCUGUGCUUAUUUUCAACUUUCCCAACACACCCCCUCAGGAAAACAGUGAAAACCUCUUAAAGUUGCACGUAAAAACCCAGUGCUCAAUAAGGAAAAUGGCAGUUGUCAGGGGUCUGGCAUAAAAUGAUGAAACAAGCUUGCGUUCACAAAAGCCCAGCUUCAACCCUGGCUUAUUUCCUUUGCCUACAAUGCAGUCCGGCCUUGGCUCUUCAGUCGAAAUCGCUGCAUUGGGUUUUUCUUAAUGAGUUUCUUCAUUUUUUACCUCAUGUGCCUACAUCUCCAACCAUAAUGACAGUUGUGUUUCUGCUGUCACCACAAGGAAGCCUUGGAGGUGGAAAUCUGCUGGUGGCCUUGGCUGUGCUCUGGCCCCAGCAAACCUCCCACCCACAGGGUUCUCCCCAGCCCUUCGUGUGUAGUCAGAGGAUUACCCAUUAUUUUCUUAAACAUGCCUUUCCAGUUACAAAAGGUUUUCUUUCUUCCCCCCAACUAUAUGGAAAUAUUAAUAUUCAAUACUGCUCCUUUUGAAUAACUUUUAGGGCCCCAAAUAAAAGGCCCUUCAACUUGCCCACUGAAAGAGAAUCAAGCCAGAUGGUAGUUUAAGAAUCCCACAGUUCUGUUCUUUUUGACUCUCCAAGGCCCAUUGCACUGUUUGCUCUUAGAUUAGUCCCUUUUUACUGUUCUUAUUUACCCGGCGACUGAAGCUAUCACGAUUCACUGCCCGUCAUAUUUCUCAGUAUUCUUUCCGUAAUUUGGAAGCAAUUUGGAAUAAAGCCCUGUCAAGGUUUUACAAAUAAGAACUAUUAAAGAAUAAAGCUUUGGAUACUUGCUUUCCUUUUAGAUUUAUGAGAGAUGCGAUGAAUGGGGCUAAUGGGAUUUCCCUACUGGUCUUGGUCAGGGACUUUAAAAAGCACUAAACAAUUGUCCUAUUCACUUCUGCGAUUUAGACGUUAGCAGUGAACAACUCGGAGUCGGUGCAGGGUGUGGGCUCUACAGUGUUGGAUUGGAAACAGCUAUGCAAAUCAUCACUGGCCUACUUGCCUGGCAUCUACUUCCUGCCGUGACCAAAAGAGGAAAACGUGUUACCUUUGCCCAGUCCUGAACAGGGAACAACUAUUACAUCGAAACACAGUGAAGUCGGCGCCUCAGUGUGUUCCAAAGGCCUUGACCAGUGAAGAACUGAGCUUAGAUUUCCUCACCGAAGGGCACCUAAUGGAGCUGUCCCUUGUUGGCAGCCCCUGCCAGGCAUCUAACCCUCCGUCCUCACAGCUCUGCCAACACUAAGACCACCAAUCCUAGGCUGAGCUUCCAGAAGCCUAUGUCCAGUUUAUGAUCAGGGCAGUAGGGUUUGUCUCCAGUGGCCCUGGGAACACGGGAGCAGCAGUGACCAUAUGAAGAAACACCUGACCACAUUUUAAUGCAUUGCAUGAUAUCGACUGUCUGUAUUUGGAGCGAUGUGUAAUAAAUAUUUUUAUUACAGUCUAGA